GCAGCCAUCGAGGGGGGAUUCACUCAGACUGUCGAGGUGAAACACUUGUGUCCACAGCUGAAGUCUCUGCCCAGAGCUGUCGCUGUUAGGACGGCGUACGAGACCAGGAAGAGUUCAGCUUGUCUGCUCUGUACUCCGCUCCGCCAGCGCUGGACUUGGGGAACCAGACACUGAGGGUUCAGUUCAGAGCCGUUUGGAGGUGAUGCUGGAGCGCUCCUCACAUGCCAGGCUCUACAGCGUCUCACUGGGCUGGACAAGACACGGACGUCUGGAGCAGGCUUAAGUUGUCAGUGAAUGGAGUCGCUCUGAGGAGAGGAAUGAGACCAAGCUGGAUCUGCAGCAGCCUUUUUCCUCCUCACUGAGCAAGCUGUCCUUGCAGACGGUGUCCCACAGCUCACAGAGGGACCAGCGCAGCAGGCCCGUCUGUCGUGGGAAAGUGCAGUCCCUGCCAACGUCCCGGUCAGCCUGCACCAGCAGUGGCAGAGCAACUCCAGCAGGGGGCAGCUCUGCGCGCUGCUGGCAGCACUGCAGCCAGCGGCGUCAGUGGCCCAGGAGGGGGACUCAUAUAUUCACAAAGUGCAGAGUUAAGAUGGGGCAACAGUACUGUCGAGCAGGGCUUGAAGUACCAGAAGAAUCUGCGAGGCAUGCACAGUCUUCAGCUCCUCGCCGGUCUGGACAGAGUGUCCCCUGAACCCCGUCCAUCACACACACUCCUCGCCAAAGUUCAAACAAACCUCAGGGACCGCUUGGAGCACACAGUGCUGUUGAGCAUUUGUCCUGCGCAGCCUGCCGGCCAACAAACCUACUCCUGGACUGAAACCAGAUUAGCCUCAGCUCUGUCUGGAGUCAGGACAAGUUCUCCUCAAGAGAAUGUGCGGUGAGCGUCUCAGUGCCGCAUGUGUCCUCGCUGAGGGCGGCUGAGGCGGAGCUGACGGAGAUCCUCCUGGAGGAGUGGCUCCUGAGGCUCCUGAGGCUCCUGAGGCCCCUGCAGGCCCUCGCUGCUGUCAGGCCCAGUGCAGAGUUUUACCACCUGAAGAGGAAGAUGAUGGACAGCCCCUUCAUACACCAAGCUCUUCUGGUGGCUGGCCGGUUCGUGGUGACGUUUGACGGCCGUCUGUACGAGCUGCCCGCCCCGUGUCCACUGCUCCUGGCCCAGGACGUCGGCACCAAGCCGUCGUUCACGCUGGUGCUCAACAGCCACUCGGACACCUUCCUGCUGGUGCACCUGAACAACCACACCAUCAGCAUCCAGCACAUUGG
Long non-coding RNA from Cololabis saira (Pacific saury), 1260 nucleotides. RefSeq lists it as uncharacterized. The transcript is spliced from 10 exons. The record is from RefSeq and is a predicted model, not a curated record. Lineage: Eukaryota; Metazoa; Chordata; Actinopteri; Beloniformes; Belonidae.